RNAcentral lists this ribosomal RNA (253 nucleotides) under uncultured bacterium. Its description in RNAcentral is "partial 16S ribosomal RNA". It matches the Rfam family "Bacterial small subunit ribosomal RNA", at positions 524 to 776 of the family's 1533-position model. The record is from RNAcentral. RNAcentral also lists the same sequence under 1 other name.
UACGUAGGGGGCGAGCGUUGUCCGGAAUUACUGGGCGUAAAGGGUGCGUAGGCGGCGAUGCAAGUCCAUUGUGAAAAGCCCGGGCUUAACCUGGGAGGUGCAGUGGAAACUGCAUGGCUUGAGUGCAGGAGAGGAAAGUGGAAUUCCUAGUGUAGCGGUGAAAUGCGUAGAUAUUAGGAGGAACACCAGUGGCGAAGGCGGCUUUCUGGACUGUAACUGACGCUGAGGCACGAAAGCGUGGGGAGCAAACAGG